GAUGAAGAACGUAGCGAAAUGCGAUACUUGGUGUGAAUUGCAGAAUCCCGUGAACCAUCGAGUCUUUGAACGCAAGUUGCGCCUCAAGCCAUUAGGUUGAGGGCACGUCUGCCUGGGCGUCACGUAUCGUUGCCUGAUGCCAGUUUCCUCGUGAUGGGUGACUGUGCAGGGCGAAUGAUGGCUUCCCGUGAGCAUUGUUGCCUCAUGGUUGGUUGAAAAUUGAGUCCUUGGUAGGGAGCGCCGUGAUAGAUGGUGGUUGAGUGACGAACGAGACCCAAUCAUGUGAGACCCCUACCGAAUUUGGCCUUCAUGACCCACAUGCGUCUUUGGAACGCUCAUGACGAGACCUCAGGUCAGGCGGGGCUACCCGCUGAGUUUAAGCAUAUCAAUAAGCGGAGGA
This 400-nucleotide unclassified non-coding RNA is filed under the name soil metagenome. Its description in RNAcentral is "partial contains 5.8S ribosomal RNA, internal transcribed spacer 2, and large subunit ribosomal RNA". The stretch from base 1 to 122 matches the Rfam family "5.8S ribosomal RNA", at positions 35 to 154 of the family's 154-position model. The record is from RNAcentral.